Molecule: transfer RNA, 52 nt
Filed under: Allium cyathophorum
Lineage: Eukaryota; Viridiplantae; Streptophyta; Magnoliopsida; Asparagales; Amaryllidaceae
Description: partial tRNA-Leu
Source: RNAcentral
UGAAUUUUCUUUGAACCAUUUUCUUUGAACCACUAAAAAAAAAAAGGAGAAU